GGCCAUUGCUAUCGGAGUCCGAUUUAGCCAUGCUAGUCGCACGGGUUUAGACCCGUGGCGGAAAGCUCAGUAACACGUGGCCAAACUGCCCUGUGGACGGAGAUAACCUCGGGAAACUGAGGCUAAUAUCCGAUACAGCUCGCAUGCUGGAGUGCAGCGAGCUGGAAACGUUCCGGCGCCACAGGAUGUGGCUGCGGCCGAUUAGGUAGACGGUGGGGUAACGGCCCACCGUGCCGAUAAUCGGUACGGGUUGUGAGAGCAAGAGCCCGGAGACGGUAUCUGAGACAAGAUACCGGGCCCUACGGGGCGCAGCAGGCGCGAAACCUUUACACUGCACGACAGUGCGAUAGGGGGACUCCGAAUGCGAGGGCAUACAGUCCUCGCUUUUCUGUACCGUAAGGUGGUACAGGAACAAGUGCUGGGCAAGACCGGUGCCAGCCGCCGCGGUAAUACCGGCAGCACGAGUGAUGGCCGAUCUUAUUGGGCCUAAAGCGUCCGUAGCCGGCCAGACAAGUCCGUUGGGAAAUCCACGCGCUCAACGCGUGGGCGUCCAGCGGAAACUAUCUGGCUUGGGCCGGAGACUCGAGGGUACGUCCGGGGUA
Molecule: ribosomal RNA, 602 nt
Filed under: uncultured Halobacteriales MT17
Lineage: Archaea; Methanobacteriati; Methanobacteriota; Halobacteria; Halobacteriales
Description: bacterial SSU rRNA
Rfam family: Archaeal small subunit ribosomal RNA
Source: RNAcentral